GACGAACGCUGGCGGCGUGCUUGACACAUGCAAGUCGAACGAUGAAGCACCAGCUUGCUGGUGUGGAUUAGUGGCGAACGGGUGAGUAACACGUGAGUAACCUGCCCCUCACUCUGGGAUAAGCCUGGGAAACUGGGUCUAAUACUGGAUACGACCGAUCUCCGCAUGGAGUGUUGGUGGAAAGUUUUUGUGGUGGGGGAUGGACUCGCGGCCUAUCAGCUUGUUGGUGGGGUAAUGGCCUACCAAGGCGACGACGGGUAGCCGGCCUGAGAGGGCGACCGGCCACACUGGGACUGAGACACGGCCCAGACUCCUACGGGAGGCAGCAGUGGGGAAUAUUGCACAAUGGGCGAAAGCCUGAUGCAGCGACGCCGCGUGAGGGAUGACGGCCUUCGGGUUGUAAACCUCUUUCACCAGGGACGAAGCUAACGUGACGGUACCUGGAGAAGAAGCACCGGCUAACUACGUGCCAGCAGCCGCGGUAAUACGUAGGGUGCGAGCGUUGUCCGGAAUUAUUGGGCGUAAAGAGCUUGUAGGCGGUUUGUCGCGUCUGCUGUGAAAGACCGGGGCUUAACUCCGGUUCUGCAGUGGGUACGGGCAGACUAGAGUGUGGUAGGGGAGACUGGAAUUCCUGGUGUAGCGGUGAACUGCGCAGAUAUCAGGAGGAACACCGAUGGCGAAGGCAGGUCUCUGGGCCAUUACUGACGCUGAGAAGCGAAAGCAUGGGGAGCGAACAGG
Molecule: ribosomal RNA, 738 nt
Filed under: uncultured Dermacoccus sp.
Lineage: Bacteria; Bacillati; Actinomycetota; Actinomycetes; Micrococcales; Dermacoccaceae
Description: bacterial SSU rRNA
Rfam family: Bacterial small subunit ribosomal RNA
Source: RNAcentral